This 10137-nucleotide long non-coding RNA is filed under the name Capsicum annuum. RNAcentral describes it as "long non-coding RNA (CANN_LNC013763)". Lineage: Eukaryota; Viridiplantae; Streptophyta; Magnoliopsida; Solanales; Solanaceae. The record is from RNAcentral.
AUUAAACAAAACCUUUUCUCUCUCUCCUCCUUAGCUUCUCAAACUCCCACUACUCUCAAGAAAAUCCUGUCAAAUGUCAUCUUUUCUUCUCUUUCUUCUUCGGUGGCAAAGGGCUCCUUUUUGCGUUCUAAGGUAAGUUAAAAUUAAGUUUCGAUUAUUUGUAAAUUCAUUUUAGCGGUUUUUAUUUGUUAUCCGUUUUGUACAUGAUGUAGUAUGGGAAUUUUUUUGAAUGUGAUUAAUAAAAAAUUAAAAUAUGAGAAUUUUAUAGGUAAUUAGUUUGAUUCCAUAGCAAUAGUUGAGUUUUGAUUCCGCAAUUCAACAAAAUUUUUCGUUGAUCACGCUGUUGAAUUUUGAAAUUUUUAUUGAAAAGUUCUUCUUUAAUUAUGAUAUUGUUUUAGCACUGCAGUGUUGAAUGGUGAGAUAAUUCUCAAUUUCUUAGUUAUUUUGGCUAUUUGAAUCGGACAUUGACCUGUUUUUGUUUGUAGACUUGUGGUAUAUGAAUUAACAAUUCCCUAGAUAGAAAUAAUUUUUUAGGUAUAUGAAAUUAUUUUAAAAUAUGAUUGAUUAAAUACUGAAAAAUAUAAAAUUUUUAUAGCUAAUUAGUUUGAUUUCGUAAUAAUAGUUGAUUUUUGAUUUCGCAUAUUUGAUUGAAAAUUUUUCGUUGAUCAUGCUGUUGGAUUUUGAAUACUUUUCUAAUAAAUUUGAUUUAGUUCUGAUAUUUUUGUGUAGUGAACUGUUUAAUGGUGGGAUAAUUCUUAGUUAUUUUGGCUUUUUCACUUGAGCAUUGAACUGUUUCUGUUAGUAGACUUGUGGUCUAUGAAUUGACAAUGACAGAAGUAUUUUUAGGUAUAGAUUCUGUAAAAAAAAAUAGGUAAAGCUAGAGCUAGUAUUAAACUCACUAUUGGUACCACAUUUCAUUCUGCUUCUAGCAGUAGAGAAAAAAAAGUAAGGCUGUUGAAAAUGCCUCUAAAAAAAAACUGAAGCGAAAGAGUCAGAAUCAAAAUCGGAGAUCAUAAAGGACAUAAAUAGAUAUGUCGAUGAGUCUAGUGAUGAUGUUGCUGAGUGUAGUGGUAGUGAUGAUAGUGAAGGGGGUGAGGGUAGUGAAAAAAUAAUACUGAUGGGGACAAUGAUCCCUUGUCCGUGCCAUUUUUUUCAAGGUACAUUUUCAUGGGGCGACAUGUGUUGCGCACACGCAAGUGUACGUGGUCUCACCAAGUGGUAAAGUGGCCCUUUAGAAACGAAGUAUCGAUCUCACAGGGACUAGUGUUAAGAUACUAUCCAACUUUAGUUUAACUAUUGAGAUUAAAGUGGUGUAAAAGUAAUCGAAAGAGUUUUAGAGUUGUAAACUAAUGUAAAGUAAACAAUGCAUAAAAUUAAAAGUCUUAUACAAUCAACGAGGAGAAACCCAGGAUUAAAGCACUGCGAACAAUCAUACUAAGCUAUUGAACUUCAUUGGUUAGAUUACUUAACUUGGUUGUUGAUUCGCAAGGUUUAUAGUAUGAUCAUGGUCUCCCAAUCCUCUAAUCUUUUACCUAACUGGACAUUACAACUACAUCAUUGAGCGGGGAUGCAAUAAUCCAUUUAGAUACAUUAAUAUGUCAUCCUACAAGUGAACCAAAUAAGGCUUCUAGGUAUAUCCCUAUCCUAGACGCUAAUUUAAAUCCCUUAUUUUAUAAAAGAAUAAGAACCUUACUUUACUUAUCCCCAUGUUCUAUUCUCUUAUUCCCCCUCUCGAGUUCAUAAAGACGACAAUGAAUGUAUUAUAAGGAUUGUGAAUCCUUAAAAUAGUUAUAACAAGGAUAAAUAAACAACCAAAUAUUAUAAGCAAUCAAAACCAAAUCAAUUCAAAGCAAUAGUAAUCAUGUUCUUGGCCUUAACCCUGGAAAGAGGGCUUUUAACCGCUCAUGGAUAUAAUUAUAAUCGUAAAGAUAGAAAACAUGCUAAAAUCCACAAACAAACUAAAGUAAGGAUAUAAAACCCCUAAUUGAAGUGCUUUACAUCCCCUAUCCAGGCUUUAAAGCCGUCCAAGAUGUAUAACAUCAAGUUCAAGUGUCCUAUUUAUAAGAGGACAGAACUGCCGAAAUUGACCUAGGGUCCGCGUCGCGAAGCUCAUAGCGGGGACUUGGGUGCGCGACGUGCCCUCAUCAUAGAUAAACACUAUUUUUGGUCCCUUAUUGAGCUACCUAUGUGUGGAAUGCUCCCAAUAUCCAUGGCUUGGGUCAGAUACGCUCUAUGGACAUCCAAAGUAUUUGUUUUACAUCAAAUCUUGUCCCGUGCUUUCGUUGAUCCAUUCCAAGUCAUUUUGUAAUGUUUCCACUUGAUUUACAGCUUUUAUAUCAUUCAUAUAUCAUAAUAAUCAACUCACCAAGCAUCCUAUAGCAUUAAACACCACAAAUUAGAUCUCAAAACAACACACAAUCCAUGACGGUGAACUAGAAAUUUAAGCUAGGAACUAGUUUCAUUCUAUUAAUCUUUAGCUUAGUGUUUUGACUCUUAGCUUGAUUUAAUUGAGAUUUAAACAUUAUAAACAAGUUGUUCCAGACAUAAUUACACAAUCAAACCAUUAGUAACUCAUUACACAUACUAGAAUCCAUCGAUAUCAACUAGAACAACACCUAGCUCAAGCUAGUAGCAUUAGUUUUCUCAUUUGAACUCUAAAUGGCCACAUUAAGUACCAACUUGUUUUAAAGACACCAUAAACAUUGUAAUGAAGUACUUAAACACUUAUAUGUUCAAUUAUAUCAUUAUUCACUCAUUAAGCACACAAGUAGUUCUCAAAAUAAGGCUAGAUAAGCCCGAAUAACAAUACUAAGGAGCAUAAAUCCACCUCAGAUCAUCACCCUACACUUAAAGCCUUGUUCUUCCUCGAAUAACUAUUUACUAUAAACAUCAUAAGCUGAGGUGACUCCACACUUCUACUUCAAGCAAUACACUCAAUCUAGUACUAAAAUGACUACACAAAAUGCAAGUCCUUACACUAAGCAUGUUACAUACACAAUUGAAAGUUCACGAACACUACUUUAAAACAUCAUAGCCUCAAGAAGUGACUCACUAAGUUGGCAAACUCUUGAAUAUUUCUCAAUUAAAUACUUCAUAUAAAUCACUCAAAUAUCAUCAAACAUGUGCCCUCACAACAAGAGAGUUACCCAUAAGCACUCACAUAGAUGUAAUAUAUCACAGAAUGGGUAUAAGAAUCAAGUUACGCUCUCUCUCAUAAAGAAUUCACAAGGUACACAAGGUGAAACAUAGGCUUUUCCUUAAUGUAGUACUCCACUAAGAUCAAAAUGAUGAAGCUUAGGAUCAAAUAGGUCUUUAAGAGUUAUAAUGUAGGCUAAGGGACGGGUAGGAACUAUUUUGGCCAAGAAUAGUGACUAUCUUCCCUAAGCGCUUUAAUACAUCACACUUUUCAUUCAAUUCACCUUUAACAACCAAUUUCCACAACUUUAAUCUACCCCUAUAUUUUGUUUUGCCCCAUCUAAUUAAGCAUAUUCACAUAUACUAUGGUGGGAGUAUUGUCUAUUAAUUCAUGAUUCAAUUUUACCCUUCUUUACACCCACUUUAUGUUACGCACCCCUAUGAUAGCCACCCUCAACUUAAGUGAUUUGCCUUAGUUGAGGUGCACAAUGUCCAAGGAGGACCAGGGUCAAAACAGGUUCAUUGUAACAUAAAUGGGCUAAAAAUAGGAAUUUUUUUAGCAUAAAUUUCUCUUACUCCCAACCACAACACAUAAAUUAUACACACCAAUAACUAUUACUUUGGGGCUUCACUUUCACCUUUCUCCUACUUGAAUUUCAAACUCUUUAACUCGACUAAUUUUACUCUAAAGCGCGUAGGAGCUUUGGAUCAAAUUAAGGUCUAUCAAAGAAGGGGAUACGGGAUACAUAUAAGGCUGCCAAAGAAAAUAAGCUAAAGGCUCAAUGGGUUUAACUAGGAUUAUGCAUAACGGUAAGUAAAAGGGGGGUAUGAAAUAUGGGUAUCAACUAAGUGCCUAUAUCAUCUCUUAAAUCCAUACUCUUUAUUUCACUUUGCAUACACACCAGGCAAGUUCUAGACAUCAAGUACAACAAGUAAUGCACAAAAAAACCUCAUACACAUGGCACAUGCUUAACUCAAGUAGGAUCACCAUAGGCUCUCAACCAAACAAUCAUAUGAAUUCAACGUUAAGCUAACAAGUACAAAAGUCAUAAUCAUAAGCCUAAGAGUCUCAAAAGUAGCAAUUCACACAAUCAACAUACUUUUACAAUCAAAACAUUUGCGUCAUGUAAUCACAUAUAGCACCAACAAGAACAUCUUACUUAUUCCUAACAUAAUUUUUUUAAAAUUACUCCUAAAAAUGGGAAUUUCCUACCCCAUACUGAAAAAUCUACUUUGUUCCCAAAGUAUACUUAAAAGUAGAGAUGCAAUUACUCCUGAGGCCUCUAGGCCUAGCUAGUAGCAUCUUCAUACAUCAAGGGAGUCCAAGGACCCCAUACUCAGCCUUUGCUAUGCUUCUUAGCUUAGAUUUUUUGGUACUCAGACUUUCCAUCAACCUGUGACUCAACAAAAAUAAAAAAACUAGUGAAGUAAAUACUAAAAUGAAAACCUACCUUAACUUGGGUUGACUCUAAAGCAGCGCCUGAUUUAGUGUCGCGGAAUGACCCAAUCAAAUUUUCCCUCCACCUUGAGGAUAUAAAUUUCAGCCCCAACCUCACAUCUAUUUUUUCUCUCCGCUCAUAGGAUGGUGGUACAAUGAUGAGUAAACCGAGUAAUGAAUGGAGCAUGAUAAACCACUCAUCCUUAAUGUGAGGUAUGUUUUUGUGUUGCUUUUCUGGUGCACAAUUAAGAAUAUAGAAUUCUUGUUCCUUAUCUUUACUCUCUUUCAUUAUUUCAGAUGACUCCACAAAUAUGUCAUCAUCUAAACAUAAUGUAUAAAAGUUCUUUUUUAAUAAGGCCCAACCAAUCCCACUUUAAAAUUUACACCAUCCAUAACACACUCACUCUUAUUCACCUUCUCAAUUUUAGUCUCAAGAUAAAAAUGACAGUGGAAUGGCUAAAAUUCUUAUAUUUUCUCCACGAAUUAGCUAGUAUCCUCCUGUGCUUUUCUCUGCCUCUAUGGAAAUGGUGGUAGUGGUAUCUCCUUAACCUGUUCAAAAACUUUAGUUUUAAGUGCUAGAACUUCCUUGAAUAAUCAGCAACUUUGUCUGUAAUCGGUUGAGGAGUCAACUCUGCAUCUGCCUCCUUAGUUGUAUUUGGAGGUUCUUCAUUAAUGUCUUUACCAUUUCUCAAAGUGUUUUUUAUUACUUGUUUAGGAGGUUUAAUGUCACUUAGAAAACCACCUUGAUACCUGGCAUUUUGUGCCUGUUGUAUCUUCUCCAACUAAUUCUCCAACUACUCCAGAAUUAUUUGACAAUUUUUAAGUUCAACAACCAACUAUUCUUGGGUGUCCAUGAUCUUCUUUAGCAUUUUCUCUAUGUUACUAUCCUAUGUGUUUUGAUGUUGCUGUUGAAACUGCUGCUAGUGAUUGUUCCAUGAUUGAAUUGGUGGCUGAGUCUGCCACUUUUGAUUGUAGGCUUUCCCAUAGUAUGAACUUUGAGCAUUGCCCACAAACAUCACUGACUCAGGAUUGGCAACACACAUAGCUGCAGAAUGACCACUAUGGCAACAAACCUCACCAAACUUAUGGUCUGUUCCACAGAUAAGAUAGUAUCCACUUCAUAUUGUGAAGGUCCCAUCCACGAGCUUUCAUCAAAAUCUGGACAAAAAUCCUCUUGAUGAGGUCCCCCACAAAAAUAUAAGAAUCUUCAUCACUCGAAAACCAUUUAUCCCAGGCUGCCAUAUCAGGAAGUGUGAUAAAAAAAGUAAAAGAAAAUAAAAGAAAAAAAAUAAUAAACUAUGUACAACUCAAUAUAGAUAAAUUAAAAAUAAGAUAGUUUUCUAUUUACAAGUCCCCGGCAAUGGCGUCAAAAACUUGUUGUGCCCAAGCACACACGCAAGUGUACAUGGUCUCACCAAGUAGUAAAAUGGCCCUUUAGAAGCCAAGUAUCAAUCCCACAGGGACUAGUGUUAAGCAACUAUCCAAUUUUAGUUUAACUAUUAAUAUUAAAGUGGUGUAAAAGUAACCGAAAGAGUUUUAGAGUUGUAAACUAAUGUAAAGUAAAUAAUACAAGAAAGUAAAAGUCUUGGACAAUGAAUGGGGAGAAACCCGGGAUUAAAGCACUGCAAACAAUCAUACUAAGACGUUACACUUCAUUGGUUAGAUUACUUAUCUUGGUUGUUGAUUCGUAGGGUUUACAGUAUGAUCAUAGUCUCCCGAUCUUUUAAUCUUCUACGUGACUGGAUAUUACAACCACAUCAUUGAGUUGGGAUGCAAAACUCCAUUUAGAUGCAUUAAGAUGUCAUCCUAUAAGUGAACCAAAUAAGGCUUAUAGGUACAUCUCUAUCCUAGAUGCUAAUUCAAAUCUCUUAUUUUAUAAAAAAAUAUGAACCUCACUUUACUUAUCCCCAUGUUCUAUUCUCUUAUUCCCCCUCCUAAUUUCACAAAGACGACAAUGAAUGUAUUCUUAGGGUUGUAAAUCCUUAAAUAGUUAUAACAAGGAUAAAUAAACAAUAAAAUAUUAUAAGAAAUCAAAACCAAAUCAAUUCAAAGCAAUAGUAAUCAUGUUCUUGGCUUUAACCCCGGAAAGGAGGCUUUUAGCUGCUCAUGGACAUAAUCAUAAUCACAAAGAUAGAAAGCAUGUUAAAAUCCACAAACAAACUAAACUAAAGAUAGAAAAAAACCUAAUUGAAGUAUUUCACAUCCCAUCUCCAAGAUUCAAAGCCGUCCAGAUGUAUAACAUCAAGUUCAAGUAUCCUAUUUAUAGGAGGACAAAACUGCCAAAAUUGACCUAGGAUCCGCGUCGCGGAGCUCAUAGCGGGGACUAGGGUGUGUGAUGCACCCUCAUAAUCAAGACACACUGUUUUUGGUACCUUAGGGAGAUACCAAUGUGUGGUACACACCCAAUAUCCAUGUCUUGGGUCAAAUACGUGCCAUGGACAUCCAAAGUGUCCGUUUUACAUCAAAUCUUGUUCGAUGCUUUCUUUGAUCCAUUCUAAGCCCGUUUGUGUUGUUUUCACAUGAUUUACAGCUUUUAUAUCAUUCAUAUAUAUUCAUAAUCAACUUACCAAGCAUCCUAUAGCAUUAAAAACCACAAAUUAGAGCUCAAAACAACACACAAUCCACAACGGUGAACUAGAAACUUAAGCUAGGAACUAGUUUCGUCCUAUUAAUCUUUCGCUUAGUGUUUUGACUCUUGGCUUGAUUCAAUUGAACUUUAAGCAUUAUAAAAAUAAUUUCCAUACAUAAUUACAGAAUCAAAUCAUUAGAAACUUAUUACACACACUGAUAUGAAUCAACCCACGAGAACUCGAAUCUAAUAUGCGAAAAAUAAAGAUAGAAGGAUAGAAUAAUCAAGAUAGAAAGAUAGACACGAAAUUAAUACUGAAAGGGCAAUCAAAGGAUGUAUCAAAUCCUAAGAACUCCCUUAAUGACUAUCAAUAGGCACCUAACUCUUACGGUGACCGCAAAGAGGAUUAGAUCGCCCUUACAACCAACGUUUCUUAGCAUGGUUCAACAAAUGCUUUUCUAAGCACUCAAACACUUCCACGGAGUCGGAUGAAUACAUCAUGUAAAAAUUAUCAUAAAAAAACUAUGGAAAUAAGCCUAUCUACCAAGCAUUUAUAGUUUGGCUACAUAUUACAUUAUUAGGGCCCAAAAGUGACCCUAAUAUAAGAAAAGACCCACUAGGAGUUGUUUUGACCCGUUCUUGAAAUGCUAGAGCGGGUCUAAAUCUGCUUGGGUGCAUGACCCUUCCAAAGGGAUUAAGAGCCCCAUUUUGCACUCCUUCAACCUCACCAAAGUCCUUUGACCCUCUUUAAUGGUAAUCUUCCUCCAUGUGGUAUCUUUUAAAAGCACUAAGGAGUCAUCAAGAACCUCGAGCAUCAUACAUAUCUCAUCCAAAGGUCCGAAGGCAAUUUGGCUUGUAUCACACACUAGAAUCCAUCGAGAUCAACUAGAACAACACCUAGCUCAAGAUAGUAACACUAGUUUUCUCAUUUGAACUCUAAAUGGCCAUAUUAAGUAUCAACUUGUUUGAAAGACUCCAUAAAUAUUGUAAUCAAGUACUUAAAUACUUAGAUGCUCAAUUAUAUCAUUAUUCACUCAUUAAGAACUCAAGUAAUUCUCAAAACAAGGCUAAAUAAGUCUAGAUAACAAUACUAAGGAGCAUAAAUCCACCUCAGAUCAGUAUAACCUUCGAACUUUGAUGGACGAGGUUGAAUCUUUUCUGCCAAAGAUAUUGGCUAGAUCAAGGAUGGCUGCAUAUCGAGAAUUUAAGUAAAUUCUUGUUGACCAAUAUUUAAAGAAAAGAUUUAAGCAGUCUUGUUUUGGACAUUUGAGAAGCCUGUCACAACAUCUUAAAUUCAAUGGACGGAUGAUCCAUUAUUUGUUGUUGCAGCAUGUUAAGAAUGAUAAGAUACUUCACGAGAUGUGAUUUUGUGUGAACAAUAAGCCUGCUUGUUUUGACUUAAAGGAGUUUUGUUUAAUCAUGAGGCUGAACUACUCAUCAUACCCCCACUGAAUCAAAAUUGAAGAAGGUGCUAGAGAAGGGAGAAUAUUUUUGCUUUAAGGUGACGAAAAAUAAAAAUAUUAUGUCGGCCAACUUGUUACAGUUUAUUAAAGGGAAUAAGUUGAACAAGGACUAAAAUUUUAUGUGUUGUUUAAUGUGUUUCUUUUACACCGUGUUGCUUGUAAAAGAUUCGACAAAGGUUGUCGACAUAAAACUGAUUUGGAUGGUGGAUUCUUUGAGUUUCUUCGAGAUUUAUCCAUGGGAAAAAAAGACAUUUCAAUCAUGGAUUAUAUAAAGAAGAAAACUAACCUAAAGAAGCAGAGGGAAAUAUUUCAAUUGAAAAUUUUGCUAGAAAAUCAAUAGAUGAGCCCUUUCCCAUUUCCUGCAUCCUCAUAUGGCACACUAUAAAAAGUGAUAAGAUAAUUGAAGGCGACCCAUUCAAGUAUAAAGAAAAAAUUAUUCAUCUAUGAACUUAUUUUUUAUUAUUCAAUAAUACUACUGUAAUAUUGAAUGUUAUGCAAUUUUUUAAUUAUUUUUUGUAGAACAUACACCCAUACGUCAUUCCUACUGUACAUGAGAUGAAGAUGGAUUACAUGGUUAUGUUUAAGCCAUAUAAAUAUGAGUUAAAGAAUAAAUUCCUAGAUGGAUUGAAGAAAGAUUUAGAAGGGGUAACUUCACUUACUUCAAACGGGGGCAUUAAUAAUGAUGGAGAUUUUGGUGGUAACCCUAUGGGAGUACGCAUUGGUGAUGAUGCUUCUCCGAGUACAUCAAAAGUUAUAGUGGGCACCUUUGCCAACGAAAAUUUGAAUAAUUGUGUUGCUGUUCUUGAGGAAAUUGUGUUAAAUAUUUCCACCUAUAUCAAAUAAAGACUGAAAAAGAAGAAAGGAAUGAGCAACAACAUGAGCAAGGUAACUUCAUUUAAUAAUUGAUAUAGUUAAUGAAUUUUCAGCUGUGAAUUUUACUAAAACUUUUUAAUAUGAUAUAGUGCAUGCGGACCUUCAUGAAGCAGAGAGUAAUGAGAAGGAAGGAAAAAAGUAAAAUGGAUGAAUUGGCCACUAUUGUGGUAGAAGAGGAAAAAGAAGGAUGAAGAAAAAGAAUCAGGAGAGAAAGAAGAAGAAAAUGAUAAGAAUGAAGAAGAAACUGAAAAAGAAGUAACAUCAGGUGAAGAAGAGAAAGGUGAGGAAAAAGAAGAAGCUGAGAAAUAAAAAGUAGUAGAAGUUGAGAAAGGAGAAUAAGAAGGUGAGAAAGAAAAAGGUGGAAAAAAUGUUGAAGAAUUAAUUAAAACAGCUAAAGAAGGAAAGGAAGAAGCAGCAGAAAAGAAAAGAACCUUGCAAAAAAAUGAAGAAUAGAAAGAAGAAAAAGAAGAAACGGACAAAGAAGAGACAAAACAAGAGAAGGAAGAGGAGAAAGAAGAAGAGAAGAAGGGGGAGAAGAAUAAAAUUCUCAUGAUGUGGUCAUGAAUAUCGUUAAGUACAUCAACGAUAACAUUUGUGAUGAUGAGAAAAAAGACAUUUGACUAUCAAUGUUUAUGUAUUUUUUUAUUUGAUAAAUAAAG